AUUUAUAUAGUUUAUUUAAAAGCAUAAUAUUGAAGAUAUUAGGAAGAUAAAUUUGAUUUAUUUAUAAAUA
This 70-nucleotide transfer RNA is filed under the name Formica fusca. RNAcentral's name for it is "transfer RNA-Phe". The record is from RNAcentral. RNAcentral also lists the same sequence under 2 other names. Lineage: Eukaryota; Metazoa; Arthropoda; Insecta; Hymenoptera; Formicidae.